Molecule: ribosomal RNA, 498 nt
Filed under: uncultured bacterium
Lineage: Bacteria
Description: bacterial SSU rRNA
Rfam family: Bacterial small subunit ribosomal RNA
Source: RNAcentral
ACAGGUGGUGCAUGGUUGUCGUCAGCUCGUGUCGUGAGAUGUUGGGUUAAGUCCCGCAACGAGCGCAACCCUUAUCCUUAGUAGCCAGCACGUGAUGGUGGGCACUCUAGGGAGACUGCCAGGGAUAACCUGGAGGAAGGUGGGGAUGACGUCAAAUCAUCAUGCCCCUUAUGAUUUGGGCUACACACGUGCUACAAUGGCGUAAACAAAGGGAAGCAACCCUGCGAAGGCAAGCAAAUCCCAAAAAUAACGUCCCAGUUCGGACUGUAGUCUGCAACCCGACUACACGAAGCUGGAAUCGCUAGUAAUCGCGAAUCAGAAUGUCGCGGUGAAUACGUUCCCGGGUCUUGUACACACCGCCCGUCACACCAUGGGAGUCAGCAACGCCCGAAGUCAGUGACCCAACCUGAAAGGGAGGGAGCUGCCGAAGGCGGGGCAGGUAACUGGGGUGAAGUCGUAACAAGGUAGCCGUAUCGGAAGGUGCGGUUGGAUCACCUC